GUCCUCAUGCUUCAGAGGACAUGACCAGCUAUAUGAAGCUAAUAGUGCUUUAAUCUUUAUAUAUCUUUACAUAUAUAUAACGUGCUCUAUUCACAGAUAACUGCAGAGGAAGAUGUCAGAGGUCAACGUACCGAAGCGCAAGGAGAAGUGUGAGAACUGCACCAAACAGUGCAACAAGAAGCAGAGUGAAGAUGGUGCCGACUCACACCUG
Molecule: long non-coding RNA, 211 nt
Organism: Notothenia coriiceps (black rockcod)
Lineage: Eukaryota; Metazoa; Chordata; Actinopteri; Perciformes; Nototheniidae
Exons: 2
Source: RefSeq, a predicted model, not a curated record